Molecule: non-coding RNA, 102 nt
Organism: Acanthosepion pharaonis
Lineage: Eukaryota; Metazoa; Mollusca; Cephalopoda; Sepiida; Sepiidae
Source: the annotation of a GenBank genome assembly
AUACGGUCAAAUCACGCUGAAGGUGCCAAUUCUCGUUCGAUCACCGAAGUUAAGCAGCGUCAAGUGUAGUGAGUACUUAGACAGGUGACCGCUUGGAAACGG